AGAGUUUGAUCAUGGCUCAGAACGAACGCUGGCGGCGUGGAUAAGACAUGCAAGUCGAACGCUGAUUUGUCGGUAGCAAUAUUGGCAAGUCGGAGUGGCGCAAGGGUGCUUAACACGUGGGCAAUCUGCCGUGAAGCCUGGAAUAACUCGCUGAAAGGCGAGCUAAUGCCGGAUGUGAAAGUCGGGAGGCAUCUUCUGAUUUUCAAAGCUGGGGACCGCAAGGCCUGGCACUUCACGAUGAGCCCGCGGCCUAUCAGCUAGUUGGCGAGGUAACGGCUCACCAAGGCUAAGACGGGUAGCUGGUCUGAGAGGACGACCAGCCACACUGGAACUGAGACACGGUCCAGACACCUACGGGUGGCAGCAGUCGAGAAUUUUUCUCAAUGGGCGCAAGCCUGAAGGAGCGACGCCGCGUGGGGGAUGAAUGGCUUCGGCCCGUAAACCCCUGUCAUUUGCGAACAAGUUGGUUCAAUUAACACCUGAACCAUUGAUAGUAGCGGAAGAGGAAGGGACGGCUAACUCUGUGCCAGCAGCCGCGGUAAUACAGAGGUCCCAAGCGUUGUUCGGAUUCACUGGGCGUAAAGGGUGCGUAGGCGGUCGGGUAAGUCUGAUGUGAAAUCUCCAAGCUCAACUUGGAAACGGCAUUGGAUACUAUUCGGCUCGAGGAGUGGAGGGGAGACUGGAAUUCUCGGUGUAGCAGUGAAAUGCGUAGAUAUCGAGAGGAACACCAGUGGCGAAAGCGAGUCUCUGGACACUUCCUGACGCUGAGGCACGAAAGCCAGGGGAGCAAACGGGAUUAGAUACCCCGGUAGUCCUGGCCCUAAACGGUGCGCGUUUGCUGUGAGCGGAAUCGACCCCGUUCGUGGCGAAGCUAACGCGUUAAACGCGCCGCCUGGGAAGUACGGCCGCAAGGUUAAAACUCAAAGAAAUUGACGGGGCCUGCACAAG
This 948-nucleotide ribosomal RNA is filed under the name uncultured bacterium. RNAcentral describes it as "bacterial SSU rRNA". It matches the Rfam family "Bacterial small subunit ribosomal RNA", at positions 8 to 929 of the family's 1533-position model. The record is from RNAcentral.